UAAUUUGCUCCGUUGCAUACAAUUUUAUCAUGCACUUGUAAUUUAUUUAUAUAUCUGACACCCUUAUGCCUUAAUUAGCAUUAAGGAUGUCACAGAUGGUAUCAGAGUAGUUACAUGGACUAAAUCCCUUACAACUGAGGCUGUAGGUAGAAAAUCUCUUAGGAUAUCUAGAAACAUAAGUCAUCUUUUCCAAAAACUAGACCACUGACUCGUGUCUUUUUUUUUUUAUAGGAAUGACAUAAGGGAGGCCUUCUGUAUAACGUAUUGAAAUACUCGAGCCCAGAAUCAUCUAACAAAGUCAAAUUUACCGAACUCUUUCGAGUUAUCCAAGGAUUGAUCGCAGCCAUAGGACAGAAUCAAGCCAACCCUUGUCAGCACCUUGUCCCAGAAUACCGAAUAGCCAAAAGGUCUAUCUCUCACAAUAUAGUGGAGUUUAGGAAGCUUAACCCACCACACUUUCAAGGUAGCCCUAACCCUUUAGUAGCCGAAGCCUGGAUCGUAUUGAUAGAGAAGCUUUCCUCUGUCCUAAACCUAACUAAGGAAUAGAAAGUCCCCUUAGCAGCCUUUGUGCUGAUCGGUGAAACAGAACACUGGUGGUGACUUAAGAAGGAAAUCUUUCCUACCCCUAUCACCUGGGAAGAUUUUAAUGAACACGUCCUU
RNAcentral lists this long non-coding RNA (660 nucleotides) under Carica papaya (papaya). Its description in RNAcentral is "long non-coding RNA (CPAP_LNC010747)". The record is from RNAcentral. Lineage: Eukaryota; Viridiplantae; Streptophyta; Magnoliopsida; Brassicales; Caricaceae.